GGGGAUUUAGCUCAGUGGUAGAGCGCUUGCCUAGCAAGCCAAGGCCCUGGGUUCGGUCCCCAGCUCCA
Rattus norvegicus (Norway rat) is the source of this 68-nucleotide non-coding RNA. Lineage: Eukaryota; Metazoa; Chordata; Mammalia; Rodentia; Muridae. The record is from Rfam.